UUUCCGUAGGUGAACCUGCGGAAGGAUCAUUAUUGUAUAACCGAGGUGCGAGGGCUGUCGCUGACCCGAAAGGGUAGACCUCCCACCCUUGUGUAUUAUUACUUUGUUGCUUUGGCGAGCGCAAGCUCGCCAGAGAAUACCAAAACUCUUUUUAUUAAUGUCGUCUGAGUACUAUAUAAUAGUUAAAACUUUCAACAACGGAUCUCUUGGUUCUG
RNAcentral lists this unclassified non-coding RNA (215 nucleotides) under plant metagenome. RNAcentral's name for it is "partial contains small subunit ribosomal RNA, internal transcribed spacer 1, and 5.8S ribosomal RNA". The record is from RNAcentral.